GAUGAACGCUGGCGGCGUGCCUAAUACAUGCAAGUCGAGCGAACAGACGAGGAGCUUGCUCCUCUGACGUUAGCGGCGGACGGGUGAGUAACACGUGGAUAACCUACCUAUAAGACUGGGAUAACUUCGGGAAACCGGAGCUAAUACCGGAUCAUAUAUUGAACCGCAUGGUUCAAUAGUGAAAGACGGUUUUGCUGUCACUUAUAGAUGGAUCCGCGCCGCAUUAGCUAGUUGGUAAGGUAACGGCUUACCAAGGCAACGAUGCGUAGCCGACCUGAGAGGGUGAUCGGCCACACUGGAACUGAGACACGGUCCAGACUCCUACGGGAGGCAGCAGUAGGGAAUCUUCCGCAAAGGGCGAAAGCCUGACGGAGCAACGCCGCGUGAGUGAUGAAGGUCUUCGGAUCGUAAAACUCUGUUAUUAGGGAAGAACAAAUGUGUAAGUAACUAUGCACGUCUUGACGGUACCUAAUCAGAAAGCCACGGCUAACUACGUG
Molecule: ribosomal RNA, 497 nt
Filed under: uncultured bacterium
Lineage: Bacteria
Description: partial 16S ribosomal RNA
Rfam family: Bacterial small subunit ribosomal RNA
Source: RNAcentral